This 425-nucleotide ribosomal RNA is filed under the name uncultured bacterium. RNAcentral describes it as "partial 16S ribosomal RNA". It matches the Rfam family "Bacterial small subunit ribosomal RNA", at positions 354 to 796 of the family's 1533-position model. The record is from RNAcentral.
GUGGGGAAUAUUGGACAAUGGGCGAAAGCCUGAUCCAGCAAUGCCGCGUGAGUGAUGAAGGCCCUAGGGUUGUAAAGCUCUUUUACCCGGGAUGAUAAUGACAGUACCGGGAGAAUAAGCUCCGGCUAACUCCGUGCCAGCAGCCGCGGUAAUACGGAGGGAGCUAGCGUUGUUCGGAAUUACUGGGCGUAAAGCGCGCGUAGGCGGUUUUCCAAGUCAGGGGUGAAAGCCCGGGGCUCAACCCCGGAAUAGCCCUUGAAACGGGAAGACUAGGAUCUUGGAGAGGUCAGUGGAAUUCCGGGUGUAAGGGUGAAAUUCGUAGAUAUUCGGAAGAACACCGGUGGCGAAGGCGACUAACUGGCCCGUUACUGACGCUGAGGGGGGAAAGCGUGGGGGGCAAACAGGAUUAGAAACCCUGGUAGUCC